UGGGAACCUUCCCUAUGGUUCGGAAUAGCUCAGGGGAAACUUGAGGUAAUACCGGAUAAGCCCUUCGGGGGAAAGAUUUAUCGCCAUUGGAUGGGCCCGCGUCGGAUUAGCUAGUUGGUGAGGUAACGGCUCACCAAGGCAACGAUCCGUAGCUGGUCGGAGAGGAUGAUCAGCCACUGGGACUGAGACACGGCCCAGACUCCUACGGGAGGCAG
Molecule: ribosomal RNA, 215 nt
Filed under: uncultured bacterium
Lineage: Bacteria
Description: partial 16S ribosomal RNA
Rfam family: Bacterial small subunit ribosomal RNA
Source: RNAcentral